AACGAACGCUGGCGGCAUGCCUAACACAUGCAAGUCGAACGACACCUUCGUGUCUAGUGGCGCACGGGUGCGUAACGCGUGGGAACCUGCCCUUAGGCUCGGAAUAACUCCCCGAAAGGGGUGCUAAUACCGGAUAAUGUCUUCGGACCAAAGAUAUAUCGCCUUUGUAUGGGCGCGCGUUGUCUUAGCUAGUUGGUAGUGUAAGCGCCUACCAAGGCGACGAUCCAUAGCUGGUCUGAGAGGAAGAUCAGCCACACUGGGACUGAGACGCGGCCCAGACUACUACACGAGGCAGCAGUGGGGAAUAUAGGAAAAUGGGCGAGGGCCUGAUCGCGCACUGGCGCGUGAGUGAUGAAGGCCUUAGGGUUGUAAAGCUCUUUUACCCGGGAUGAUAAUGACAGUACCGGGAGAAUAAGCACCGGCUAACUCCGUG
Molecule: ribosomal RNA, 433 nt
Filed under: uncultured bacterium
Lineage: Bacteria
Description: partial 16S ribosomal RNA
Rfam family: Bacterial small subunit ribosomal RNA
Source: RNAcentral